Molecule: ribosomal RNA, 1397 nt
Filed under: Vibrio parahaemolyticus
Lineage: Bacteria; Pseudomonadati; Pseudomonadota; Gammaproteobacteria; Vibrionales; Vibrionaceae
Description: partial 23S ribosomal RNA
Rfam family: Bacterial large subunit ribosomal RNA
Source: RNAcentral
AAGGCUGAGACACGACGUCGAGCACCUACGGGUGUGAAGUCAUUGAUGCCAUGCUUCCAGGAAAAGCCUCUAAGCUUCAGAUUGUAAGGAAUCGUACCCCAAACCGACACAGGUGGUCGGGUAGAGAAUACCAAGGCGCUUGAGAGAACUCGGGUGAAGGAACUAGGCAAAAUGGUACCGUAACUUCGGGAGAAGGUACGCUCUUGAUGGUGAAGUCCCUUGCGGAUGGAGCUGACGAGAGUCGCAGAUACCAGGUGGCUGCAACUGUUUAUUAAAAACACAGCACUGUGCAAAAUCGUAAGAUGACGUAUACGGUGUGACGCCUGCCCGGUGCCGGAAGGUUAAUUGAUGGGGUUAGACUUCGGUCGAAGCUCUUGAUCGAAGCCCCGGUAAACGGCGGCCGUAACUAUAACGGUCCUAAGGUAGCGAAAUUCCUUGUCGGGUAAGUUCCGACCUGCACGAAUGGCGUAAUGAUGGCCACGCUGUCUCCACCCGAGACUCAGUGAAAUUGAAAUCGCUGUGAAGAUGCAGUGUACCCGCGGCUAGACGGAAAGACCCCGUGAACCUUUACUACAGCUUGGCACUGAACAUUGACCCUACAUGUGUAGGAUAGGUGGGAGGCUUUGAAGCACGUACGCCAGUAUGUGUGGAGCCGUCCUUGAAAUACCACCCUUGUAGUGUUGAUGUUCUAACGUCGACCCCUUAUCGGGGUUGCGGACAGUGCCUGGUGGGUAGUUUGACUGGGGCGGUCUCCUCCCAAAGAGUAACGGAGGAGCACGAAGGUGGGCUAAUCACGGUUGGACAUCGUGAGGUUAGUGCAAUGGCAUAAGCCCGCUUGACUGCGAGAAUGACAAUUCGAGCAGGUGCGAAAGCAGGUCAUAGUGAUCCGGUGGUUCUGAAUGGAAGGGCCAUCGCUCAACGGAUAAAAGGUACUCCGGGGAUAACAGGCUGAUACCGCCCAAGAGUUCAUAUCGACGGCGGUGUUUGGCACCUCGAUGUCGGCUCAUCACAUCCUGGGGCUGAAGUCGGUCCCAAGGGUAUGGCUGUUCGCCAUUUAAAGUGGUACGCGAGCUGGGUUUAGAACGUCGUGAGACAGUUCGGUCCCUAUCUGCCGUGGGCGUUGGAAGAUUGAAGGGGGCUGCUCCUAGUACGAGAGGACCGGAGUGGACGAACCUCUGGUGUUCGGGUUGUGUCGCCAGACGCAUUGCCCGGUAGCUAAGUUCGGAAUCGAUAACCGCUGAAAGCAUCUAAGCGGGAAGCGAGCCCUGAGAUGAGUCUUCCCUGAUACUUUAAGUAUCCUAAAGGGUUGUCGGAGACUACGACGUUGAUAGGUCAGGUGUGUAAGUGCUGUGAGGCAUUGAGCUAACUGAUACUAAUUGCCCGUGAGGCUUAACCAU